Molecule: long non-coding RNA, 454 nt
Filed under: Physcomitrium patens
Lineage: Eukaryota; Viridiplantae; Streptophyta; Bryopsida; Funariales; Funariaceae
Description: long non-coding RNA (PPAT_LNC014335)
Source: RNAcentral
GAUUUGAUCUAAGAUUUGAUUUAGGAUUAAGAAUUUAUCUAAGACUUGAUUUAGGAUUUGGUUUAGAAUUUAGGAUUUAUUCAGGGUUUGAUUUAGGAUUUGAUUUAAGAUUUAGGGCUUUUUUAGGAUUUGAUUUAGGAUUUGAUUUAGAAUCUAAGAUUUGAUUUAGGAUUCGGUUUAAGAUUUAGGAUUUUUCUAGGAUUUGAUUUAUGAUUUGAUUUAAGAUUUAGGAUUUGUCUAGGAUUUAAUUUAGGAUUUUUUUUAGGAUCUAGGCUUUGAUCUAGGAUUUGAUUUAAGAUUUAGGAUUUAAGAUUUAUUUAGGAUUUUAUUGAAGUCUAUUAGGGUUUCAACUAGGAUUAAAUUAAAACUUGAUUGAGAUUUAUUUAAGAUAUAUUUGUGAUUAUUUUAAUAUUUUUUAGGACUUCUUAAAGAGUCUUUUAGAAUUUAUUGUGGA